Molecule: ribosomal RNA, 253 nt
Filed under: uncultured bacterium
Lineage: Bacteria
Description: partial 16S ribosomal RNA
Rfam family: Bacterial small subunit ribosomal RNA
Source: RNAcentral
GACAGAGGGUGCAAACGUUGUUCGGAAUUACUGGGCGUAAAGCGUGUGUAGGCGGCCGCGUAAGUCGGAUGUGAAAGCCCUGGGCUCAACCCAGGAAGUGCACUCGAUACUGCGCGGCUAGAGUACUGGAGAGGUUGGUGGAAUUCUCGGUGUAGAGGUGAAAUUCGUAGAUAUCGAGAGGAACACCGGUGGCGAAGGCGGCCAACUGGACAGAUACUGACGCUGAGACACGAAAGCGUGGGGAGCGAACAGG